GUGUCAGCCGCCGCGGUAAUACGAAGGACCCGAGCGUUAUCCGGAUUUAUUGGGUUUAAAGGGUGCGUAGGCGGAUUUACAAGUCAGUGGUGAAAUCUCCCAGCUUAACUGGGAAACUGCCAUUGAAACUGUUUAUCUUGAGUACAUUUGAGGCGGGCGGAAUGUGUCAUGUAGAGGUGAAAUUCUUAGAUAUGACACAGAACACCAAUUGCGAAGGCAGCUCGCUAAACUGUAACUGACGCUGAGGCACGAAAGCGUGGGGAUCAAACAGGAUUAGAUACCCCCGUAGUCC
Molecule: ribosomal RNA, 292 nt
Filed under: uncultured bacterium
Lineage: Bacteria
Description: partial 16S ribosomal RNA
Rfam family: Bacterial small subunit ribosomal RNA
Source: RNAcentral